This 67-nucleotide transfer RNA is filed under the name Meriones tamariscinus (Tamarisk jird). RNAcentral's name for it is "tRNA-Lys". The record is from RNAcentral. Lineage: Eukaryota; Metazoa; Chordata; Mammalia; Rodentia; Muridae.
ACAUUAUGAAGCUCAACGCGUUAACCUUUUAAGUUAAAGUAAGAGAAUACAUUUUCUCCAUAAUGGU